Molecule: long non-coding RNA, 990 nt
Filed under: Astyanax mexicanus (Mexican tetra)
Lineage: Eukaryota; Metazoa; Chordata; Actinopteri; Characiformes; Acestrorhamphidae
Description: lncRNA (ENSAMXG00005022668.1)
Source: RNAcentral
CAAAGAGAACUACAUUACCCAGAAUCCUCCAGCAGAUCCAAGCCUCUACGGAAGACCGGGUAGCUCCUUUGCGUCUACAGUCCGCGUUUUCUACACAGCUCGGAGUGGCUUUUUGCAGUGAGGGGAGAAACGGCGCAGAAACGCGCUCACUGAUCUAUCUUUCUCUCACUCUCGUGCGCGCUCUCUGUCUCCGUCCCCGAGGCGCCUCUGCGUGAAACCGGCAACACUCACUUUUUACAAUUCCAAUUAUUUUAUUUUUUUCCUAGAUCUUAGGGGAUUUUUUUUAUUUUUGUGUUGUCGUUUUUUUAGAUAAUUUCUCGAGUUUUUUUUUUUUAUUAAAUUAAAUUUGUUUUAUAUUUCUUAACCAGAUUCUCUCACACAGCUGCUCACUUCGGCGUCUCCAGUCAGCAGCAGCACCGGACCAGCAUGCGCGCGCCGGACCGGGCUGUGGAGUGCGCUCUGCUCGCGAGCCCCUGCGCUCCUAGACCGGGGCACGGUUCCACGAGCCAGUCCAGCUGAGGAGGCAACAUCAGCAGCAGCAUUGACCAUUGAGCAGCGGCGACGGCGACAGCGCUGCUGAUGCGCGCGUGAGGAGCUCGCGCCCAACGCUGCUGCAGCGUGAGCGCGAGCGCGGCGCCUCCCGGUGAGCGCGCGGUGGUGGUGGCGGCGGCUCCUUCGUCGUCUGGCUGGCCGACUGACUGACUGACUGAGUGAGCGAGCGAGUGGCUGCACGAGGCUGGAGAUUUGCAUAUCAGAGGCGCGCCGCAUCUCACGAGGAAAAACAUCGCCUGGUGCUUUCCUGUGACUUCACACCUAAAGCUCCUGAUCACUGGAGGCCCUGCACUCACACUGACCCAGCAAGGAUUGUGUGAUUGGGCUGGAUCAGCAUCUCCACAGUACAAUAGCAUAAGGUGUCAGAUAUUUGCUGCCUAAGGGACAAUAGCCCUAGGGCACUCAGACUGGACGACAUUACAUACAUACACUAGUAUA